GAUGAACGCUGGCGGCGUGCCUAAUACAUGCAAGUCGAGCGAACGGACGAGAAGCUUGCUUCUCUGAUGUUAGCGGCGGACGGGUGAGUAACACGUGGAUAACCUACCUAUAAGACUGGGAUAACUUCGGGAAACCGGAGCUAAUACCGGAUAAUAUUUUGAACCGCAUUGUUCAAAAGUGAAAGACGGUCUUGCUGUCACUUAUAGAUGGAUCCGCGCUGCAUUAGCUAGUUGGUAAGGUAACGGCUUACCAAGGCAACGAUGCAUAGCCGACCUGAGAGGGUGAUCGGCCACACUGGAACUGAGACACGGGCCAGACUCCUACGGGAGGCAGCAGUAGGGAAUCUUCAGCAAUGGGCGAAAGCCUGACGGAGCAACGCCGCGUGAGUGAUGAAGGUCUUCGGAUCGUAAAACUCUGUUAUUAGGGAAGAACAUAUGUGUAAGUAACUGUGCACAUCGUGACGGUACCUAAUCAGAAAGCCACGGCUAACUACGUG
This 497-nucleotide ribosomal RNA is filed under the name uncultured bacterium. Its description in RNAcentral is "partial 16S ribosomal RNA". It matches the Rfam family "Bacterial small subunit ribosomal RNA", at positions 28 to 507 of the family's 1533-position model. The record is from RNAcentral.